Long non-coding RNA from Nannospalax galili (Upper Galilee mountains blind mole rat), 666 nucleotides. RefSeq lists it as uncharacterized. The record is from RefSeq and is a predicted model, not a curated record. NCBI's taxonomy places the organism in Eukaryota, Metazoa, Chordata, Mammalia, Rodentia, Spalacidae. The transcript is spliced from 5 exons.
GGUUCCCAAGGCACUGGGAGACCCAGUAUCAGGCUGGUGUGAAAUGGCCAGGGCUGUGGAUGGUGGUGUGGCCAAGGAGGGGGACUGAGUGGACAGCUUUACACAUCUCAGCAGAAGGCUCCUCUGGAAACCACCAGUUAAAAGUUUGGGUAAGUCACCAGCCCCACCUCAAGAUACAGCUGGACACUUGGUGUUGGAGGCAGCCAGGCUGCAGCAGCGUGUGAGGUAAUGGGAAGUGAACUUGACAUCGGAGAUCAGCUUGCCUGAAUAGAGGAAAUCAGACCCAGAGCCUCGCCAGGGUUCAGCUCCGCAGUAAAUGACAUCGUAAGGUUUUUUCUGGGGUGUCUUGGAUAGGACUUCAAGGAUAGGUAUGAUUGUUGAAGUGAGGUCCACAGGAUUAUGGAGUUCAGCUGGGUCACUUGGGAAGACCCAACGUCAUCACGGGAGACAGAGGAAGCCAUGACACAAGGAGAUGAGGAGACCAUGUGACAAUGGAGGCUGCAACCACAGUCACUGAGCUGGAAGACUUCAGUGGGUUUCCAGUGGACCACAGGAGCUGGGCAGGUGAUUGCCAGUCUACUCCCGCAUCCUUACUGCCCAGGGCCAGUCUGACUGGACUCACCCUUUCACCAUGGGGACCACAGAUGCUUCCCACAUCCCUUAGAA